GGGUUGUGAGGUUAAGCGACUAAGCGUACACGGUGGAUGCCCUGGCAGUCAGAGGCGAUGAAGGGCGUGCUAAUCUGCGAUAAGCGCCGGUAAGGUGAUAUGAACCGUUAUAACCGGCGAUACCCGAAUGGGGAAACCCAGUGUGAUUCGUCACACUAUCAUUAACUGAAUCCAUAGGUUAAUGAGGCGAACCGGGGGAACUGAAACAUCUAAGUACCCCGAGGAAAAGAAAUCAACCGAGAUUCCCCCAGUAGCGGCGAGCGAACGGGGAGGAGCCCAGAGCCUGAAUCAGCAUGUGUGUUAGUGGAAGCGUCUGGAAAGGCGCGCGAUACAGGGUGACAGCCCCGUACACAAAAGCGCAUGUGCUGUGAGCUCGAUGAGUAGGGCGGGACACGUGGUAUCCUGUCUGAAUAUGGGGGGACCAUCCUCCAAGGCUAAAUACUCCUGACUGACCGAUAGUGAACCAGUACCGUGAGGGAAAGGCGAAAAGAACCCCGG
This 498-nucleotide ribosomal RNA is filed under the name Salmonella enterica subsp. enterica serovar Senftenberg. RNAcentral's name for it is "partial 23S ribosomal RNA". It matches the Rfam family "Bacterial large subunit ribosomal RNA", at positions 1 to 529 of the family's 2925-position model. Lineage: Bacteria; Pseudomonadati; Pseudomonadota; Gammaproteobacteria; Enterobacterales; Enterobacteriaceae. The record is from RNAcentral. RNAcentral also lists the same sequence under 2 other names.